AGGCCACUGCAGCAGCAAUGACGGAGGGCACGUGAGUCCCCUCGCCCCGGGCUCCUGACGAAUGCGGGGUGGUCCUGGGUGCUGAGGAGAGCGCGACGGGGGCAGUGGGCCAGCGGCCGGGAUUGGGGCGGGACCUGGGUCGCUGAUGGCCGGUGGUCCUCAGGUGUCUGCGGCGCCGAGGGGGCCCCUACAAGACCGAGCCCGCCACCGACCUCGGCCGCUGGCGACUCAACUGCGAGAGGGGCCGGCAGACGUGGACCUACCUGCAGGACGAGCGCGCCGGCCGCGAGCAGACCGGCCUGGAAGCCCACGCCCUGGGGCUGGACACCAAGAAUUACUUUAAGGACUUGCCCAAAGCCCACACCGCCUUUGAGGGGGCUCUGAACGGGAUGACAUUUUACGUGGGGCUGCAGGCUGAGGAUGGGCACUGGACGGGUGAUUAUGGUGGCCCACUUUUCCUCCUGCCAGGCCUCCUGAUCACUUGCCAUGUGGCACGCAUCCCUCUGCCAGCCGGAUACAGAGAAGAGAUUGUGCGGUACCUGCGGUCAGUGCAGCUCCCCGACGGUGGCUGGGGCCUGCACAUUGAGGAUAAGUCCACCGUGUUUGGGACUGCGCUCAACUAUGUGUCUCUCAGAAUUCUGGGUGUUGGGCCUGAUGAUCCUGACCUGGUACGAGCCCGGAACAUUCUUCACAAGAAAGGUGGUGCUGUGGCCAUCCCCUCCUGGGGGAAGUUCUGGCUGGCUGUCCUGAAUGUUUACAGCUGGGAAGGCCUCAAUACCCUGUUCCCAGAGAUGUGGCUGUUUCCUGACUGGGCACCGGCACACCCCUCCACACUCUGGUGCCACUGCCGGCAGGUGUACCUGCCCAUGAGCUACUGCUACGCCAUUCGGCUGAGUGCCGCGGAAGACCCGCUGGUCCAGAGCCUCCGCCAGGAGCUCUAUGUGGAGGACUUCGCCAGCAUUGACUGGCUGGCGCAGAGGAACAACGUGGCCCCCGACGAGCUGUACACGCCGCACAGCUGGCUGCUCCGCGUGGUAUAUG
This 1041-nucleotide small RNA is filed under the name Pongo abelii (Sumatran orangutan). RNAcentral's name for it is "processed transcript". The record is from RNAcentral. Lineage: Eukaryota; Metazoa; Chordata; Mammalia; Primates; Hominidae.